Molecule: ribosomal RNA, 483 nt
Filed under: uncultured bacterium
Lineage: Bacteria
Description: bacterial SSU rRNA
Rfam family: Bacterial small subunit ribosomal RNA
Source: RNAcentral
AGAGUUUGAUCCUGGCUCAGAUCAACGCUGGCGGCGUGCCUCAGACAUGCAAGUCGAACGAUUAAAGCUCUCUUCGGAGAGUGUAUAGAGUGGCGCACGGGUGAGUAACACGUAAGUAAUCUACCCUCGAGUGGGGAAUAACAACCGGAAACGGUUGCUAAUACCGCAUAAUGCAGCGGCACCGCAAGGUGACAGUUGUUAAAGAUUUAUCGCUUGAGGAGGAGCUUGCGGCAGAUUAGCUAGUUGGUAGGGUAACGGCUUACCAAGGCUACGAUCUGUAACCGGUCUAAGAGGACGGUCGGUCACACUGACACUGAAUAACGGGUCAGACUCCUACGGGAGGCAGCAGUCGGAAUUUUGGGCAAUGGGCGAAAGCCUGACCCAGCAACGCCGCGUGAAGGAUGAAGUAUUUCGGUAUGUAAACUUCGAAAGAAUAGGAAGAAUUAAUGACGGUACUAUUUAUAAGGUCCGGCUAACUACGUG